GUGCAGCAGUCGCGAAACCUUUACAAUGUCUUCACGGACGAUAGGGGAAUCCUGAGUGCUCUAGCAUUGCUAGAGCUUUUGCUUACUGAAAAGGUAGGCGAAUAAGUGGUGGGUAAGACGGGUGCCAGCCGCCGCGGUAAUACCCGCGGCCACAAGUGGUGACCACGUUUAUUGGGUCUAAAGCGUUCGUAGCCGGCCUGAUAAAUUCUCGGUGAAAUCCUGUGUAAAUCAUAGGGCGUGCC
RNAcentral lists this ribosomal RNA (242 nucleotides) under uncultured microorganism. RNAcentral describes it as "partial 16S ribosomal RNA". It matches the Rfam family "Archaeal small subunit ribosomal RNA", at positions 330 to 576 of the family's 1478-position model. The record is from RNAcentral.